Molecule: unclassified non-coding RNA, 262 nt
Filed under: rhizosphere metagenome
Description: partial ribosomal RNA internal transcribed spacer region
Source: RNAcentral
GUAGGUGAACCUGCGGAAGGAUCAUUAACACAAUACAUUUACCCAAAUGUAUUUUAACCCCCCUUUGCAAACUUGUUUCAUAUUGUUUUCCCGGAUUUGUGGAGCUUCGUGCUUUUCAAAUCUGUGGUUUCAAACCUUUAUAACCCCUUGAACUGUCUUUGACUGAAACUCUGAGCUGUGACAGCUUCUUAAAAACAAUCUGUCAUAUCUCUGCCAUAUAUCAAACGCUGAACAACUCUUAGCAACGGAUAUCUUGGCUCUC